CGCGCAGGCGGAUCAGCAAGUCAGAUGUGAAAUCUCGAAGCUCAACUUCGAAACUGCGUCUGAAACUGCUAGUCUAGAAUGUCGGAAGGGGCAGGGGAAUUUCACGUGUAGGGGUAAAAUCCGUAGAGAUGUGAAGGAACACCGGGGGCGAAGGCGCCUGCCUGGACGACUAUUGACGCUGAGGCGCGAAAGCGUGGGGAGCAAACA
RNAcentral lists this ribosomal RNA (207 nucleotides) under uncultured delta proteobacterium. Its description in RNAcentral is "partial 16S ribosomal RNA". It matches the Rfam family "Bacterial small subunit ribosomal RNA", at positions 568 to 774 of the family's 1533-position model. The record is from RNAcentral. Lineage: Bacteria; Deltaproteobacteria.